UACGGGGGGUGCGAGCGUUGUCCGGAAUCACUGGGCGUAAAGGGCGCGUAGGUGGUUUGAUAAGGGUGUGGUGAAAGUCCGGGGCUCAACCCCGGAUCUGCCGUGCCGACUGUCAAACUCGAGGGCUGUAGAGGCAGACGGAAUUCCGGGUGUAGCGGUGGAAUGCGUAGAGAUCGGGAGGAACACCUGUGGCGAAGGCGGCCGGCUGGGGGUGCCCUGACGCUGAGGCGCGAAAGCCAGGGGAGCAAACGGG
This 253-nucleotide ribosomal RNA is filed under the name uncultured bacterium. RNAcentral's name for it is "partial 16S ribosomal RNA". It matches the Rfam family "Bacterial small subunit ribosomal RNA", at positions 524 to 776 of the family's 1533-position model. The record is from RNAcentral.